This 492-nucleotide ribosomal RNA is filed under the name uncultured bacterium. Its description in RNAcentral is "partial 16S ribosomal RNA". It matches the Rfam family "Bacterial small subunit ribosomal RNA", at positions 29 to 507 of the family's 1533-position model. The record is from RNAcentral.
AGUGAACGCUGGCGGUAGGCCUAACACAUGCGAGUCGAACGGCAGCACAGUAAGAGCUUGCUCUUACGAGUGGCGAGUGGCGGACGGGUGAGGAAUACAUCGGAAUCUACUUUUUCGUGGGGGAUAACGUAGGGAAACUUACGCUAAUACCGCAUACGACCUACGGGUGAAAGCAGGGGAUCUUCGGACCUUGCGCGAUUGAAUGAGCCGAUGUCGGAUUAGCUAGUUGGCGGGGUAAAGGCCCACCAAGGCGACGAUCCGUAGCUGGUCUGAGAGGAUGAUCAGCCACACUGGAACUGAGACACGGUCCAGACUCCUACGGGAGGCAGCAGUGGGGAAUAUUGGACAAUGGGCGCAAGCCUGAUCCAGCCAUACCGCGUGGGUGAAGAAGGCCUUCGGGUUGUAAAGCCCUUUUGUUGGGAAAGAAAAGCAGCAGGUUAAUACCCCGCUGUUCUGACGGUACCCAAAGAAUAAGCACCGGCUAACUUCGUG